AGCCAAUCAAGGAGGGACACGU
Molecule: unclassified non-coding RNA, 22 nt
Filed under: Mus musculus (house mouse)
Lineage: Eukaryota; Metazoa; Chordata; Mammalia; Rodentia; Muridae
Description: oocyte_clustered_small_RNA13402
Source: RNAcentral